This 20-nucleotide ribosomal RNA is filed under the name Lactarius hepaticus. Its description in RNAcentral is "partial 18S ribosomal RNA". The record is from RNAcentral. Lineage: Eukaryota; Fungi; Basidiomycota; Agaricomycetes; Russulales; Russulaceae.
AAGGAUCAUUAUCAUACAAA